CGGAUCAGAAUGCCGCGGUGAAUACGUUCCCGGGUCUUGUACACACCGCCCGUCACACCAUGGGAGUCGGUAAUGCCCGAAGUCAGUAGCCUAACCGCAAGGGGGCGCUGCCGAAGGCAGGAUUGAUGACUGGGGUGAAGUCGUAACAAGGUACC
Molecule: ribosomal RNA, 155 nt
Filed under: uncultured bacterium
Lineage: Bacteria
Description: partial 16S ribosomal RNA
Rfam family: Bacterial small subunit ribosomal RNA
Source: RNAcentral